This 485-nucleotide ribosomal RNA is filed under the name uncultured bacterium. RNAcentral describes it as "bacterial SSU rRNA". It matches the Rfam family "Bacterial small subunit ribosomal RNA", at positions 28 to 491 of the family's 1533-position model. The record is from RNAcentral.
GAUGAACGCUGGCGGCGUGCUUAACACAUGCAAGUCGAACGAAGCACUUUAUUUGAUUUCCUUCGGGACUGAUUAUUUGUGACUGAGUGGCGGACGGGUGAGUAACGCGUGGGUAACCUGCCUUAUACAGGGGGAUAACAGUUAGAAAUGACUGCUAAUACCGCAUAAGCGCACAGGAUUGCAUGAUCUGGUGUGAAAAACUCCGGUGGUAUAAGAUGGACCCGCGUCUGAUUAGCUGGUUGGUGAGGUAACGGCCCACCAAGACUACGAUGGAUAGGGGUUCUGAGAGGAAGGUCCCCCACAUUGGAACUGAGACACGGUCCAAAACUCCUACGGGAGGCAGCAGUGAGGAAUAUUGGUCAAUGGACGCGAGUCUGAACCAGCCAAGUAGCGUGAAGGAUGACUGCCCUAUGGGUUGUAAACUUCUUUUAUAUGGGAAUAAAGUGGUCCACGUGUGGAUUUUUGUAUGUACCAUAUGAAUAAGG